This 341-nucleotide ribosomal RNA is filed under the name uncultured Pseudomonadota bacterium. RNAcentral describes it as "bacterial SSU rRNA". It matches the Rfam family "Bacterial small subunit ribosomal RNA", at positions 29 to 351 of the family's 1533-position model. The record is from RNAcentral. Lineage: Bacteria; Pseudomonadati; Pseudomonadota.
AACGAACGCUGGCGGCGUGCUUAACACAUGCAAGUCGCACGAGAAAACCGUAGCAAUACGGUGAGUAAAGUGGCGCACGGGUCAUUAACACGUGGAUAAUCAACCUCUGGGAGGGGGACAACCUGUCGAAAGACGGGCUAAUACCCCGUAAGACCACGGGAUCUUCGGGUCCUGAGGUAAAAGGCGGCCUCUACUUGUAAGCUGUCGCCUGGAGACGAGUCCGCGCACCAUUAGCUUGUUGGUAGGGUAACGGCCUACCAAGGCCAAGAUGGUUAGCUGGUCUGAGAGGACGACCAGCGACACUGGAACUGAGACACGGUCCAGACUCCUACGGGAGGCAG